AGAAACCGGCGGCGAAAGGUGGUAAAUCUAAGAAGACGACGACGGCUAAAGCAACGAAGAAGCCUGUGAAAGCUGCUGCUCCAACGAAGAAGAAAACAACUUC
RNAcentral lists this small RNA (103 nucleotides) under Arabidopsis thaliana (thale cress). RNAcentral's name for it is "ATSL116480". Lineage: Eukaryota; Viridiplantae; Streptophyta; Magnoliopsida; Brassicales; Brassicaceae. The record is from RNAcentral.